UUAAAGGUUAUUGGUAUAAAAGAUUUAGAACUUUAUAUAUCGGUAUUCCAAUGGCACCUAAAAAUCACUUUGACACUACCAAUGAUUUUUGACUAAUCAAUGGUACUAAAAAUUCCAUGAGGCCAUGAAUCCAACAACUGUGACCCCGCAACACCUCCACAUAGCAAAUAUGAUGGCUUCUAAUUUCUUUCUCAAACAGCGCCUUUCGUAGCAGCUAGCCGGCGAUGAUUGAGGUUUUAAAGUAUUUCAGUCGCCUAACAUCAAUCAUGGUCAUGGUUGUAUUUGCUUUCUUCCUUCUGGUGCUGCCGCUUGUUCUGCCACCAUUGCCACCGCCACCACUGUUCCUUCUCUUUGUUCCAGUCUUAAUAAUGAGUGCCCUCAUUUUCUUGGCUUUUUCUCCAUCCAAUGUGCCCAACACAGAAUCCAUCUCCAUUUGAUCUAUAUGAAGCAUUGGAAAUCUUCAAGCUGAGCGAUCUUGGUCUUGGACAAGGGGAAGGCUUCAUGAUUAGGUACAAGGAGACAAGAAGACUGCAAGUUAUGUUUAGAAGCAAUAAGCUACUCGUGUCAUCGUUCUGUAUAUUAUUUUCUAAAUUUGAUCAGACUCUUCGAUCUUUGUUAACUUGGUCCAUAUACAUAUAGGACCCUUGAGCAAUAUUAUAAUAUCUUAGCCGAUCAGCUUGGUGUAGUUAAUCAGGCUGAGUUUAUACAUGUCUAUCAAUCAAGUUGCAUGAGCCUGCGAGUGGAGAAGAUGUCGUUUAGGGGCCUAAGAGUUUUUAGUUUUGUAGAAAAAGCUGUGGUUUAAGAGCUUCAAGAUUUGUGCAUCACAACUUUCAAAUUUUGAGAUUAAAUUUGAAUUUGCAAUACACGAGUAUUUGGCUAA
Molecule: long non-coding RNA, 880 nt
Organism: Hevea brasiliensis (rubber tree)
Lineage: Eukaryota; Viridiplantae; Streptophyta; Magnoliopsida; Malpighiales; Euphorbiaceae
Exons: 2
Source: RefSeq, a predicted model, not a curated record